This 516-nucleotide ribosomal RNA is filed under the name uncultured eukaryote. RNAcentral's name for it is "SSU rRNA". It matches the Rfam family "Eukaryotic small subunit ribosomal RNA", at positions 585 to 1120 of the family's 1831-position model. The record is from RNAcentral.
CCAGCUCCAAUAGCGUAUAUUAAAGUUGUUGCAAGUUAAAAAGCUCGUAGUUGAAGUUCUGAUUGUUCGGGCCUCGCGCUUUAUAGCCGAGGAACCGACAGUCAUCCGCUUGCAAAUAUAUGUUCGCCUUUAACCGGGGUGGCUAUAUGAGUAAGCAAUUUACCUUGAGAAAAACAGAGUGUUCCAGGCAGGUUUGUCCGGAAUGCAUUAGCAUGGAAUAAUAGAAUAUGACUGAAGUCGAUUUAUUGGUUUAAGGCUUUAGUAAUGAUUAAUAGGAACAGUCGGGGGCAUUGGUACUUGACAGUCAGAGGUGAAAUUCUAGGAUUUGUCAAAGACUAACAAAUGCGAAAGCUAUUUGCCAAGGAUGUUUUCAUUAAUCAAGAACGAAAGUUAGGGGAUCAAAGACGAUCAGAUACCGUCCUAGUCUUAACUAUAAACUAUACCGACUCGGAUUCAGAUGAAUCAAAAAGUUCAUUUGGGACCGUAGGAGAAAUCAAAGUUUUUGGGUUCUGGGGG